GACGACGCUGGCGGCGUGCCUAACACAUGCAAGUCGAGCGGGGUUGAAGCGAGGGGUAACUCGAGUUUCUACCUAGCGGCGGACGGGUGAGUAACGCGUGGGCAACCUGCCUCAAGGACUGGGAUAACAGCUCGAAAGGGCUGCUAAUACCGGAUAAGCCCAUGGCCUCGCAUGGGGCCAUGAGCAAAGGGGAAACCCGCCUUGAGAUGGGCCCGCGUCCCAUCAGCUAGUUGGUGAGGUGAAGGCUCACCAAGGCGACGACGGGUAGCCGGCCUGAGAGGGUGACCGGCCACACUGGGACUGAGACACGGCCCAGACUCCUACGGGGGGCAGCAGUGGGGAAUCUUGCACAAUGGGCGAAAGCCUGAUGCAGCGACGCCGCGUGAGCGAAGAAGGCCUUCGGGUUGUAAAGCUCUGUCUGGAGGGACGAAGGAAGUGACGGUACCUCCGGAGGAAGCCACGGCUAACUACGUG
RNAcentral lists this ribosomal RNA (474 nucleotides) under uncultured bacterium. Its description in RNAcentral is "bacterial SSU rRNA". It matches the Rfam family "Bacterial small subunit ribosomal RNA", at positions 33 to 507 of the family's 1533-position model. The record is from RNAcentral.